Long non-coding RNA from Sphaerodactylus townsendi, 853 nucleotides. RefSeq lists it as uncharacterized. NCBI's taxonomy places the organism in Eukaryota, Metazoa, Chordata, Lepidosauria, Squamata, Sphaerodactylidae. The transcript has 2 exons. The record is from RefSeq and is a predicted model, not a curated record.
CAGUGAGAAAGAAGCCAUGGACGGGGACACACCCACUUGCCUCCCGGGCUAAGCAGUUGGAGAGCAUGGGAUAACAGAGGGUUGGACUAGGAUCUGGGAGAUCUAGGUUCAAAUCCUCACUUUAUAUAGAAAUCUACUGGGUGAAUUUAGGCCAAUCUCAGGGUUGACGUUUCAAGAUUAAAAUGGAGAAGUGGGGUAAGACGUUAGAAGCUGCUUUGGGUCUCCACUGGGCAGAAAAGUGGUAUGUAAAUAACUCAAUUAAAUAUUCUUGUCCCGUAUGAAUAGCCCUUGUAGCACCCCAACUUAUAAAGACAAUGGUCUUAGACGAGUUUGCAGUGUUGCGUCUUUCUCAAAUGGCAUUAGAGAACAGCACUGCUUUCAACAGGGUGGGUGGGAGAUUUUAAAAAUGCAAACAUUUGGAAGAAAAUCAGUGUUGGAAAAGGAGGAACUGGCAUUGAGAUGCCACAUGACUCUUAAACUUGGACGUUAUGGGAACUCAUUGUGGCUCCUUUUUUGUCUCAACGUAGUUGUGUGUUGCAUGAUUCCAGUGGCAAAUUCCUACCUAUAGUGCAGCAUGCAGCAACAUCUGGAUGCAGCCUUAGUGGGCAGGAAGAGGCACUCUUUACACGCUUAAAAAACUUACAUAAAGAUGUGUAGCCAUUACCCACCCCCUCCCACCCACAUAACUGGCCCCUGGCUUAUUUCAGUUCGACGAAUGGAUGAACUAGUGGGAAAAUAAGGGCCACUGGUUCAUUUCGAGUUCUGUUUCUUGUGUGUGUGUCUGAUGGGGAUGUGUGUGUAUUUUACACCCUCUUUUCCAAUUUGUCAUUAAUAUAUAAUUUGAUGGAUUGCA